RNAcentral lists this RNase P RNA (272 nucleotides) under Vibrio parahaemolyticus. RNAcentral's name for it is "partial RNase P RNA component class B". It matches the Rfam family "Bacterial RNase P class B", at positions 98 to 365 of the family's 365-position model. Rfam says of the family: Ribonuclease P (RNase P) is a ubiquitous endoribonuclease, found in archaea, bacteria and eukarya as well as chloroplasts and mitochondria. Its best characterised activity is the generation of mature 5'-ends of tRNAs by cleaving the 5'-leader elements of precursor-tRNAs. Cellular RNase Ps are ribonucleoproteins. Lineage: Bacteria; Pseudomonadati; Pseudomonadota; Gammaproteobacteria; Vibrionales; Vibrionaceae. The record is from RNAcentral.
GCUUAGGGGCCGUGUAAACGGCUACGGCGGCCAAACGCGCUAAGGCGUCAGCUAUGCGCUAGUAGGUCUGAAAAGUGCCACAGUGACGAAACGAUCAGGGAAACCUGAGCGGUGGAACGGGUAAACCCCGCGAGCGAGUAACCCAAACUUUUGGUAGGGGCGUUUUGCCAAGCAAAUUGAAGCGACGGCAAUACAGCGGUAACGCUGAGAUAGAUGAUGACUGAAGGAGCUUGUGCCUGAACAAGUUCUGGAACAAAACAUGGCUUAUAGGG